GACGUAGGGUGCAAGCGUUGUCCGGAAUUAUUGGGCGUAAAGAGUUCGUAGGCGGUUAUUUAAGUCUGGUGUUAAAGACGGGAGCUCAACUCCCGCAUGGCAUUGGAAACUGGAUAGCUAGAGUACGGUAGAGGUCUCGGGAAUUCCAGGUGUAGCGGUGAAAUGCGUAGAUAUCUGGAGGAACACCGGUGGCGAAAGCGCGAGACUGGGCCGUAACUGACGCUGAGGAACGAAAGCCAGGGUAGCCAAAGGG
RNAcentral lists this ribosomal RNA (253 nucleotides) under uncultured bacterium. Its description in RNAcentral is "partial 16S ribosomal RNA". It matches the Rfam family "Bacterial small subunit ribosomal RNA", at positions 524 to 776 of the family's 1533-position model. RNAcentral also lists the same sequence under 1 other name. The record is from RNAcentral.